Molecule: transfer RNA, 38 nt
Filed under: Cyrtodactylus pulchellus (Malayan forest gecko)
Lineage: Eukaryota; Metazoa; Chordata; Lepidosauria; Squamata; Gekkonidae
Description: partial tRNA-Tyr
Source: RNAcentral
UGUAGCCCUGUUUACGGGGCAUUCGCCCCCCCAACCAG